This is a long non-coding RNA of Zalophus californianus (California sea lion), 2022 nucleotides long. RefSeq lists it as uncharacterized. Lineage: Eukaryota; Metazoa; Chordata; Mammalia; Carnivora; Otariidae. The transcript has 3 exons. The record is from RefSeq and is a predicted model, not a curated record.
CAGGCCCGUCCCUUUCUGUGGACCCUAUUCCACACAAAAACCAUACAGAUAAUAGACAAACUGACCAAUCAGCCAAACGGCUCCCUAUCUCUCCACACGGUGCCGUGUGGGUAGAACUACCAGCUACCCUUCCUGACCCACCUUCACUCCAGCUUCCUCCACUGCUCCCACGGUUUGGGUCUCCUGAUCUUGCGGUUAUUUGCUUGGAGUCAUUUCCCACCCUUUGGCCUGAUGCUUCUGGCUGAGACAUUUUCCUCUCUUCUUGGCCAUAAUUUGGGCUCUCCCCUGAGCCACAGUCCUGCUAUUGCACUGGGUAAGCAGCUCAUCUCAUGUAGCCUGACCCUCAGGACCUUGCAUCUCCGGGGUGGAGCCCAGAGGAGGUGAGACAUGAGGACUCCAGAGGGCAGCUGCUGGAAGCCCCUAUCAACAGAUGUCCCAUUAUCAAAGCAUCUGUGAAGAGCUCCCAAGGCAAGACCCCAGAGAGGACAAGCAGCUGCUGAAAGCUGUAUGCUGGUGGGAACCCGAUGAUGGAACUCAAGUACAAAGAGAGUGCUUGCCCAGCUACUUGAGUGGGAGAACCAGACCAGAGAGAACUCAGGGUUUCUGACUCCAGAGGAAGGAAUCUGAAAACGAUAGGCUCAUCACGUUCCGGGCACAAGGGCCCUAUAAUGGAAAUAAUAUAGCUUCAGGAAUGCUGAGGAGUUCUUGCCUUUUUGUAACUGGGUCAGUGCAUGUGCACAGAGGCCACCGGGUCAAAUUUUAGUGCUUGAGCGACUCUCCUGCCUCAAUGGGAGUCACACACCACUGGGCACACACUGGGUCACUGUGCGUUCUACCGGAGGAGGAUGGUGAGUCACCAUUUUAUACUCAGCUCUGCAACGGCAUGGAAAAGUUACCGCCCCACUGGCCCAUCUCAGGGAAACCUGUAAGCUCCCUGCCUCCAACUCCUCAGAGGUCAUUUCUGAGAAAGUUUGUCUUCAACUGUUUCUUGACAUGACUGGCAGCAGAAGAAAUAGCUGGAGAGGAUUUCACUUCACCCUGAGGAACUGCCCAGCAAUCUUGAGAGGAUGUAAAACCAGCUGUAGAAACUUAACUCUGUUCUUUCAUUCCUAGCAUGAGGAGAGACUGAAGUAGAAACUGUUACUGAGGGGCCGCAAGUGUCACUAAGAAUCAUUUAAAGGAAUAAAGAGGAAAACCCUUUGGUGUGUGGGGUCACUUGAGCAAGGCUACGACAGGUGUGGGCAAGCUGUCCAUUGCAAGAUCCAGAGGCUACCACUGACACGAGCCACAGUGUGAACUGUACCUUCGGAAUCACGCAAAAUGGUGAUCCUACCUUUGUUUCUCAAAUCAUGGGACAAUACAGUGAUAUUUUUCAUCUUUAAAUAAAUCCCAAAAGCCUAAGUUGGAGCACAGAGGCUAAUGCUCUGAGCGCUACAGAGAAAGCAGUAUCAGCCAAGUAGUGGUUAGAAACACCUUAUACACAGAGUGGCAUGGUGUAAACCCCCAACUUGGUCCCCUGCCCCAGUCAUGUUAAUUAACUUUUCUAUCCCUCAGGCUUUUCAGUUGUAAAAUGGGUGUAAUCAGGGUGGCUGGGAGAAUUAUAUUAGAUAUUGCAGGUAAAAUACUUACAACAGUGCUCAACACACAGUCAAGGACUCAAUAAAUGUUAACCUUUACCAUUAAAGAAGAUGGUGUCUCCCUUUUGUUCCACUAUUAGGAUUCUGGAAUGAAUAAAAAUGAUCACUGCUGUAUUAUUAUGAUUCUCAUGUUUCAAGUGUGUUUAUGGCUCCAGAGGAAAUACUGUCUGUGUCUUUUAAGGAUAAAAACUAGGAACAGCUUAAAAGGACACUUUUGGAGAAAAUGCAAAAUAGCAUUUUGUGAUUGUCAUUAAGAAUGUUAAGAAGCUGGGACGCCUGGGUGGCUUAGUCACUGGGUGUCUGCCUUCGACUCAGGUCAUGAUCCCAGGGUCCUGGGAUUGAGCCCCGCGUCGGGCUCCCUGCUCAGCGGGAAGCCUGCUUCUCC